UACGAAGGGGGCUAGCGUUGUUCGGAAUCACUGGGCGUAAAGGGCGCGUAGGCGGCUUGAUAAGUCGGGGUGAAAGCCUGUGGCUCAACCACAGAAUUGCCUUCGAUACUGUCGAGCUUGAGACCGGAAGAGGUAAGUGGAACUGCGAGUGUAGAGGUGAAAUUCGUAGAUAUUCGCAAGAACACCAGUGGCGAAGGCGGCUUACUGGUCCGGUUCUGGACGCUGAGGCGCGAAAGCGUGGGGAGCAAACAGG
This 253-nucleotide ribosomal RNA is filed under the name uncultured bacterium. Its description in RNAcentral is "partial 16S ribosomal RNA". It matches the Rfam family "Bacterial small subunit ribosomal RNA", at positions 524 to 776 of the family's 1533-position model. The record is from RNAcentral.